Molecule: long non-coding RNA, 524 nt
Organism: Oryza brachyantha (malo sina)
Lineage: Eukaryota; Viridiplantae; Streptophyta; Magnoliopsida; Poales; Poaceae
Exons: 3
Source: RefSeq, a predicted model, not a curated record
CGCCCAGAUGUAACUCUUCCGUGCCAUAUCUGUCUGAAGAAGAAACCAGAUGAAUCACUGGUGUUUAUCAAGAGCAGCAAGCUCAAGCACCACUGUCGCCGACGUCAUCCUCGUUUUGAAUUUAAGUGUGAGUAUACCAAUUGUGACGUAUACUUUGAGAAUGCCGCUGACAAGGGACGGCACACGCACUAUGUCCAUCAGAAGUCACACGCUUGGUGGUGGAGCUUUUGAGGGUGCUUUUACAUAAAGCGAUAUAAGUAAUUCUAGAUGUAGAUACUCUUCUUGUCUAGCAAACUAAGCAUGAACCAGGUACGGUGCAGAACUUCAAAAUGACAUGCCACUGUUGGCCUAUUGCGAUCAGCCAUGGUGCCAAAAUCCCUGCCUGCACCUUUGGCUAUAUUCCGCUUUCUAGUUUUUCAUGGGAUUGGGAAUUGGUUACUAGUGAAGUAGAGCUGACCCCAGCGUCAGGAGGUAAAUGACCUGUUGAUUUGGCCAAUGAACUGUCAACACCAAACAAAGCAGUG